Non-coding RNA from Trichobilharzia regenti, 45 nucleotides. Lineage: Eukaryota; Metazoa; Platyhelminthes; Trematoda; Strigeidida; Schistosomatidae. The record is from Rfam.
AUCCAGGUGACGAGUCCCAAAUAGGACGAAAUGCGCAUCCUGGAU